Molecule: ribosomal RNA, 486 nt
Filed under: uncultured bacterium
Lineage: Bacteria
Description: partial 16S ribosomal RNA
Rfam family: Bacterial small subunit ribosomal RNA
Source: RNAcentral
AUUGAACGCUGGCGGCAUGCCUUACACAUGCAAGUCGAACGGCAGCACGGGUGCUUGCACCUGGUGGCGAGUGGCGAACGGGUGAGUAAUACAUCGGAACAUGUCCUGUAGUGGGGGAUAGCCCGGCGAAAGCCGGAUUAAUACCGCAUACGAUCUACGGAUGACAGCGGGGGACCUUCGGGCCUCGCGCUAUAGGGUUGGCCGAUGGCUGAUUAGCUAGUUGGUGGGGUAAAGGCCUACCAAGGCGACGAUCAGUAGCUGGUCUGAGAGGACGACCAGCCACACUGGGACUGAGACACGGCCCAGACUCCUACGGGAGGCAGCAGUGGGGAAUUUUGGACAAUGGGCGAAAGCCUGAUCCAGCAAUGCAGCGUGUGUGAAGAAGGCCUUCGGGUUGUAAAGCACUUUUGUCCGGAAAGAAAUACUUGGCCCUAAUACGGUCGGGGGAUGACGGUACCGGAAGAAUAAGCACCGGCUAACUACGUG